AGUGAACGCUGGCGGUAGGCCUAACACAUGCAAGUCGAACGGCAGCACAGUAAGAGCUUGCUCUUACGGGUGGCGAGAGGCGGACGGGUGAGGAAUAUAUCGGAAUCUACUUUUUCGUGGGGGAUAACGUAGGGAAACUUACGCUAAUAUCGCAUACGACCUACGGGUGAAAGCAGGGGAUCUUCGGACCUUGCGCGAUUGAAUGAGCCGAUGUCGGAUUAGCUAGUUGGCGGGGUAAAGGCCCACCAAGGCGACGAUCCGUAGCUGGUCUGAGAGGAUGAUCGGCCACAUUGGAAGUGGGACAGGCUCCUUACUCCUACGAUAGGCAGCAGUGUGGAAUGUUGGACAAUGGUCGCAAGCCUUGUCCAGCCAGCCCGCGUGUGUUAAAAAGGCCUUCCGUUUGUAAAGCCCUUUUGUUGGGAAAGAAAAGCUUCAGGUUAUUACGCCGCUUUUCUGACGGUACCCAAUGAAUAAGCACCGGCUAACUUCGUG
RNAcentral lists this ribosomal RNA (492 nucleotides) under uncultured bacterium. RNAcentral's name for it is "partial 16S ribosomal RNA". It matches the Rfam family "Bacterial small subunit ribosomal RNA", at positions 29 to 507 of the family's 1533-position model. The record is from RNAcentral.